This 239-nucleotide unclassified non-coding RNA is filed under the name plant metagenome. Its description in RNAcentral is "partial contains small subunit ribosomal RNA, internal transcribed spacer 1, and 5.8S ribosomal RNA". The record is from RNAcentral.
UUUCCGUAGGUGAACCUGCGGAAGGAUCAUUAUUGAACAAGACAAGACGCCCCGUUUUUUCGUAAAAUGGGUUCAAUACCCACAACCGUGUAUACCUUACCUUUUGUUGCUUUGGCAGGCCGCCUCCGGACGUUGGCUUCGGCUGACAGCGCCUGCCAGAGGACCCAAACUCUGUGUUUAGUGAUGUCUGAGUAAUAUAUAAUAUUUUAAAACUUUCAACAACGGAUCUCUUGGUUCUG